Molecule: long non-coding RNA, 1885 nt
Organism: Salvia splendens (bonfire salvia)
Lineage: Eukaryota; Viridiplantae; Streptophyta; Magnoliopsida; Lamiales; Lamiaceae
Exons: 2
Source: RefSeq, a predicted model, not a curated record
CCUUCUUUCUUUCCAAUUCAUUUCCUUUGCCCAAAACACAAUUAAACAACAAGCCCAAUUAAAGCAGAGUCUCAUCUCAUUUCUCUUAUCAUACUUGCGGCCAAUUCCUUUUAAUUAAUUGCCUUGGCCCAAUUUAUUCUUGUACUAGAGUGGCCCAAAAGAAAUGACCCACUUACACUCUCCUUCUCCACCGUGACUUUUCCCUAAUUCACAUUCCCAAUUUCAAUCAUUUUCCUUUGGCUCUUAAUAUAAAAUUAGGAAGUGGCCCAAAUGAUUUCAAGUGAAGAACAUCUCUCUCCCCUUACUAAUUCCAUCGUAUCCUCCUCCCUCUUUCUUCUCAACUUUAAUUAAAAUCCCUAAAUCAGAUACUUAAUUUCUCCUCUUCUCUCUCGACAGCAGCGACGCUAUCCCAUCCCAGUCGCCGGCAACACAGAGAUCUCCUUUCCGCAUUCCUCUUUCUUCUUCUCAUGAUCUUCUCUGUUCAAUUUGUCUCUGAAAUUGGAGAACUAAAAUUCCUUUUCCAUCUUUCUUUUCUCUCAAAUCCCUCUUCCCCCAAUUCAGUGUAUCUCACUUCUCUCUUUCUAUCUCCGAUGCAACCACGCCAAAUCAGGAAUCUGAGUUCUAUUUCGAAACUCCCAAGCAGACAUCCGUCGCAAUGUCUAUAUCAGUCGCUGCUCGUUUCCUCGAUCCGACGCAGCAGCACCACCACCGCUGCUAUCACUACAGGUACUCCUGGCCGAGCAGCUGCUGCCCGGUGUCGUCUACGCUGCCGUCUAUCUCUCCCUCGCAGCAGCGAUGCUGCCGCUACUGAGCAAAGCCUACACGGCGCUGCCCCGUCUGUCGGGUUGCCGCGGCCUUGUGCGGCAGUCACUGCCUGUCGCCGCCUGUCGAAGCCCCGACGUCAUUCGAUCGUUGGACGGCCCUACGCACUACUAAGCUAAGUCCUCUACCCCUCUCCUUAUUUAUGCGCUUAGCGAGAAGUAUGAACAAGUGUGGAGGUGUUGUGCUAUCUUGGUGCUUUACUGCAGAAAGCUAAUUGUUUUGGUAUUUUACAAGUUGUUUGCUACUGUUGUGAGGUUCCUAUAGCCAUGUUUCUAAGUUCUUGGGCCUAGUAUGAUGUCUGAAAUAAUGCAGAGAGGAUGCUAGUGUAUUACCUCAUUCUCGGUGACUCCUUCGAACGCCGGACUGCCCUCUCGGUCUUCACCACUCCUUUCUCCCUUGCUGCACUUCUUGUGUAUUGUGAAUAUACAGAGGUGCGAGGAAGGAGAUGGUGGUGGGGCUGGUAUUUAUAGCCAAAACUCCUUGGCAUUUUGUGUCUAAUUUGGGUUAAAGAUUCUCUCUUCUUUUUGAUUUUGGGCUUAAAGUUUCACUACUAUAUUGGUGUAAGGCAUUGGAGAGCUCCAAUUUCUAUUUUGAGGCUGCAGUGUUGGCUUCCUUUUUGAGUUUUGUGAUGCUGUCGUUCAUUCCUUAUUGGUGAUCAUUUUGGGGAAGGAAGAUCCUUCUCUUGGCUGUUCCUUGAGCCUCGAUAAGGGCUCUAUCCCUCCAUCCCUUUUCGGCUUGUGGCUUGGUUUGCUUACUCUGGAGCAGUUUGGCUUUAUCCCCAAAUGGUGUUCACUAGCUGCCUCCUUGGAGCUUUAUGGAAGCAAGAAUCGAGAGGGAGGAGGAAGGAGAAAGGGAAAGGGUUCCCUUCUUGUAGCUACUUGGUUCCCAUACUAAUUUAGCCAACUCCUAGUCUUGCUUAAUAGAGUUGGUAGGAUGAAAAGUGUCAUGUAGGUUUGAGUGUUGUCUCUUUCACUUAUGUAAUUAUGUACUAAUAGCAUAUCCAUCAUCCAUGUCAUUGUAUUUCCAAAUUGUACUCUUAAUAAAAGCAUAUCUCUUACUUUUA